RNAcentral lists this ribosomal RNA (433 nucleotides) under uncultured bacterium. RNAcentral's name for it is "partial 16S ribosomal RNA". It matches the Rfam family "Bacterial small subunit ribosomal RNA", at positions 29 to 507 of the family's 1533-position model. The record is from RNAcentral.
AACGAACGCUGGCGGCAUGCCUAACACAUGCAAGUCGAACGAGACCUUCGGGUCUAGUGGCGCACGGGUGCGUAUCGCGUGGGAACCUGCCCUUAGGUUCGGAAUAACUCCCCGAAAGGGGUGCUAAUACCGGAUAAUGUCUUCGGACCAAAGAUUUAUCGCCUUUGGAUGGGCCCGCGUUGGAUUAGCUAGUUGGUAGGGUAAAAGCCUACCAAGGCGACGAUCCAUAGCUGGUCUGAGAGGAUGAUCAGCCACACUGGGACUGAGACACGGCCCAGACUCCUACGGGAGGCAGCAGUGGGGAAUAUUGGACAAUGGGCGAAAGCCUGAUCCAGCAAUGCCGCGUGAGUGAUGAAGGCCUUAGGGUUGUAAAGCUCUUUUACCCGGGAUGAUAAUGACAGUCCCGGGAGAAUAAGCUCCGGCUAACUCCGUG